Molecule: ribosomal RNA, 484 nt
Filed under: uncultured bacterium
Lineage: Bacteria
Description: partial 16S ribosomal RNA
Rfam family: Bacterial small subunit ribosomal RNA
Source: RNAcentral
AUUGAACGCUGGCGGCAGGCCUAACACAUGCAAGUCGAGCGGAUGAAGGGAGCUUGCUCCUGGAUUCAGCGGCGGACGGGUGAGUAAUGCCUAGGAAUCUGCCUGGUAGUGGGGGAUAACGUCCGGACACGGGCGCUAAUACCGCAUACGUCCUGAGGGAGAAAGUGGGGGAUCUUCGGACCUCACGCUAUCAGAUGAGCCUAGGUCGGAUUAGCUAGUUGGUGGGGUAAAGGCCUACCAAGGCGACGAUCCGUAACUGGUCUGAGAGGAUGAUCAGUCACACUGGAACUGAGACACGGUCCAGACUCCUACGGGAGGCAGCAGUGGGGAAUAUUGGACAAUGGGCGAAAGCCUGAUCCAGCCAUGCCGCGUGUGUGAAGAAGGUCUUCGGAUUGUAAAGCACUUUAAGUUGGGAGGAAGGGAAGUAAGUUAAUACCUUGCUGUUUUGACGUUACCAACAGAAUAAGCACCGGCUAACUUCGUG